UGAGGAAUAUUGGGUCAAUGGACGAGAGUCUGAACCAGCCAAGUAGCGUGCAGGAUGACGGCCCUCCGGGUUGUAAACUGCUUUUAGUUGGGAAUAAAAAAGAUGACGUGUCAUCUAUUGUAUGUACCAUCAGAAAAAGGACCGGCUAAUUCCGUGCCAGCAGCCGCGGUAAUACGGAAGGUCCAGGCGUUAUCCGGAUUUAUUGGGUUUAAAGGGAGCGUAGGCGGAGAGAUAAGUCAGCGGUAAAAUCGUGCGGCUCAACCGUACCUCGCCGUUGAUACUGUUUUUUCUGAGUGCACACAGGGAUGCUGGAAUUCGUCGUGUAGCGGUGAAAUGCUUAGAUAUGACGAAGAACUCCGAUCGCGAAGGCAG
Molecule: ribosomal RNA, 372 nt
Filed under: uncultured Paraprevotella sp.
Lineage: Bacteria; Pseudomonadati; Bacteroidota; Bacteroidia; Bacteroidales; Prevotellaceae
Description: bacterial SSU rRNA
Rfam family: Bacterial small subunit ribosomal RNA
Source: RNAcentral